GGGUCAGUAGGUUGGUCGUGCCACCGGUACGUACUGGUCUCACUGAUUCCUCCUUCCUGAAGAACCGUAGUGCCAUUAAUCUGGUGUUGCGGGGAAACAGGACUGUUACUUUGAAAAAAUUAGAGUGUUUAAAGCAAGCUAACGCUUGAAUACAUUAGCAUGGAAUAAUGAAAUAGGACGAUCGAUCCUAUUUUGUUGGUUUCUAGGAUUGACGUA
This 216-nucleotide ribosomal RNA is filed under the name Glomeromycotina sp. RNAcentral describes it as "partial small subunit ribosomal RNA". The stretch from base 87 to 216 matches the Rfam family "Eukaryotic small subunit ribosomal RNA", at positions 733 to 864 of the family's 1831-position model. The record is from RNAcentral. Lineage: Eukaryota; Fungi; Glomeromycota.